This is a long non-coding RNA of Zea mays, 487 nucleotides long. RefSeq lists it as uncharacterized. Lineage: Eukaryota; Viridiplantae; Streptophyta; Magnoliopsida; Poales; Poaceae. The transcript has 2 exons. The record is from RefSeq and is a predicted model, not a curated record.
ACGAUUUACAAGAAACAAAUUUCGCAUUGAGCAACAACUCUCAGCAAAAGUGGAUAUAUCCUCUGAGAAGGAAGCUGAUUGUACACAACAUGAGACUAUUGAUUUGAAAUCUAAACUUCAGUCCAAGGAAGCUAAAAUUGAGAAGAUGAAAUAUGAACAUCUGACGAGGGAGGCUGCUUUGGCAAAGAAGGAGCUUCUUGAAGAGGAGUACAAGAAAAAGUUUGAUGAGGCAAAGAAGGAACUAUCUCUCGAGAAUGAUCUAGCAGGCAUGUGAGUUCUUGUUGCUAAAUUGAAAAGAGGGGCUUUAGACAUAUCUGAUUUGAAUGUUGAUGAUCGAACUAAAGUGUAAGGGCGUAGCGAUCACCACAUUGUUGUCUCAUAAUUGGUGUUAAUGAAAAAUAACAUGGUGCUGCACGGAAUCUCUACUUUCUCUUGUAAGAAGGAUUGUUCUGUCAGCAUAAUUUGAUUUGCAUGUAUAAUGUCUUCA